RNAcentral lists this long non-coding RNA (506 nucleotides) under Vigna radiata. Its description in RNAcentral is "long non-coding RNA (VRAD_LNC009785)". The record is from RNAcentral. Lineage: Eukaryota; Viridiplantae; Streptophyta; Magnoliopsida; Fabales; Fabaceae.
CAGCCUGUAAUUUUCUUUCAAGCACACAACAGGAAUUUUUCACUUUUGCUGGAAUGGAUUUUUUGGGGAAAAGUUGAAAUAUGUUUUCAAUGGUUGGCAUUGGUUGAAUGAUAAAACACUUUUCCAUUUCUUUGAUUUUGUGCAAGCGCUGGAAUAAUGGGAGUUGCCUUUUAUUUUUUUUUCUUUUUAUUUAAUGCAAGUUACAUUUAAUGCUUUGAAGAAUUAAUUUCAUUUGAAGAUGGAUUGUGGUUACGGGUUGGAAGGGACGUGAGAGUUUUCUUUUUCUUUUUCUUUGUGUUUUCAAUGAAUGAAAGUUUGGUUAGGUGGGAGGCAAGAUGAUAGGACUCUUGGCAGCAGAAUGGGUGUAGCUUUUUUUUCUUUUAUUUAUUUUGGAAUGAAGAAAUAGUGAUUAGAUGGAACUAGGUAGAUGGUGUACGGUGGUUAAAUUUGAGAUAAGUUUUUUUUUUCAUAUCAAGAUAGCACUAUCACGCACCUUAAUUUACUUU